UCCCCACCUUGCUUUGAUCAACGCAGUCCAAGAGCAUCCAUCGGCAGGGACGGGGAUGGGACGAAGCGGCCGGAGCGACAGGGAGCAGCCAGGCCGGUGUGGGCAGAGCCCCGCAGAGACCACCCGCACCGCCGCACCCUCGCCCUGGAAACCAAAGGAUGGAGGAGCCCCGUGGGGUGCUGUGGACUGGGCUUUCCUGCCCGUGGGAGCUGCCAGGCUGGAAGAAGGCUGCUCCCAGCAUGGGUUUGCAGCAGCAAAGUUGUACGUGGCUGUCGCGGAUGGGCUGGUUUGGUCGCAUCCCUCCACGGCAAGGGCAGUGCCUGCGGAGCCAGGCAAGGGAAGUUAGCUUCGCUCCCUCGAGGAUGCUCGAGACCCCGUCACCACUCCCAGAUGGGGCAGCUGCCGGCAGCACACGGGGGGCUUUGCUGACCGUGCCCCACAGUUGGGUCAUUGGGACCCCCUGCAAGCGACCCGCAGCAACAAGGACAUGAGUGAAGAGGUGCCACCGCAUGGGCCGGGGACGGCGUUGGGGUCACCCUGUUCGCAAGAGACCCAGCACGAAGCAUGGCUCUUGUUGACACGAGCGGAUUCCGUGGGGUCCAGGUGACCAAGGAAGGCUGGAGAAAAGCCAAGGCUUGGUUUGAAGCGUGGGCAGGAUCCGUGCAGAUGCCCUUCCGAUCCCCAGGGUAAGGGCUUGCUCCCUCCCUUCCUAUAUAAACUGAAGCCAGAUGUGCCCGGGGGCUCCCACCUGGGGGUCCCCCCACACCUCGGUGCCAGAUGGGGUGCAUGGACCACGAGGUGACAUCCUGGGAAGCUGGAGGGACACAGAGCUGCUGCCACCGAGCCUCAGGUAUCGGGAGGACGAGGUUGACAAGGCUAAAGGAUUAAAAAAAAAUCACGUGCAUUAAAGGUGUUCA
Molecule: non-coding RNA, 917 nt
Organism: Phalacrocorax carbo (great cormorant)
Lineage: Eukaryota; Metazoa; Chordata; Aves; Suliformes; Phalacrocoracidae
Source: RefSeq, a predicted model, not a curated record